Molecule: ribosomal RNA, 407 nt
Filed under: uncultured bacterium
Lineage: Bacteria
Description: partial 16S ribosomal RNA
Rfam family: Bacterial small subunit ribosomal RNA
Source: RNAcentral
AUUGAACGCUGGCGGCAGGCCUAACACAUGCAAGUCGAGCGGAGCGGCGGACGGGUGAGUAAUGCCUAGGAAUCUGCCUGGUAGUGGGGGAUAACGUCCGGAACCGGGCGCUAAUACCGCAUACUAGCAGAUGAUCCAAGGUCGGAUUAGCUAGUUGGGGGGGUAAAGUCCUACCAAGGCGACGAUCCGUAACUGGUCUGAGAGGAUGAUCAGUCACACUGGAACUGAACGAGGGCCCAGACUACUACGGGAGGCAGCAGUGGGGAAUAUUGGACAAUGGGCGAAAGCCUGACCCAGCCAAGCCGCGUGGGUGAAGAAGGUCUUCGGAUUGUAAAGCACUUUAAGUUGGGAGGCGUUACCAACAGAAUAAGCACCGGCUAACUUCGUGCCAGCAGCCGCGGUAAUAC